AAAAAAUAUGGCGAUUAAGAAACACUUAAUGUCAACAAGAUUGUCUGAUUGACAAGAGGAAAGGUCAAACAGGAACUUCAAUUGUGAACAUUGCAGAGAACACACUCAGAAGAAGAUGACCCUCCGAAAAAGGACAAUUAAUGAAUAAAAAGGACAGAAGCAGAACCGAAGGAGAUGCAUGAAAUGAGGAAUAAUUUAAAGAUUGCCUGAGCAUAACCACUGCUACUGGAUAAACAUAUGGCAAUAUAAAAGAGCAGGGUCAAUGGAGGUAUCAUACAGUAUAGGCCAUGAAAGACCCUGAAGAAGAAAGUAUAGAACAGAAACAAAAAUAAAACCAUUUUGACAUUUAUUGUAAUAUAGGACCCAAGCCUUAUAUGUAAAAUUUUGGCUUGUAAUGACUUUUCUCUUGCUCUAAGACUUAUAACAGUGAUUAUUUGAUUUAAUAUCUUUAUCCCGAUUUGUCGAAAAGAUUUGGACAUAGUGCAUCAAUUAUUUUAAAGUUUUGAUACAACAAAUUCAUUCAUUGUGCUUGUAACUGAGUUUCCUGGUGCAACACUGUUUUAUUGGCUUCAAAACUAAGUUUGUGAUUUCCAAACCAGAUUAAUGAGAUACAUGUAAUAUCUUUUAACAUCGGUGACUAUUAAAUCCAUUCUUUUA
Long non-coding RNA from Saccostrea cuccullata (small rock oyster), 657 nucleotides. RefSeq lists it as uncharacterized. The record is from RefSeq and is a predicted model, not a curated record. NCBI's taxonomy places the organism in Eukaryota, Metazoa, Mollusca, Bivalvia, Ostreida, Ostreidae. The transcript has 3 exons.